CCUACGGGUGGCAGCAGUGGGGAAUAUUGCACAAUGGGGGAAACCCUGAUGCCGCGACGCCGCGUGAGUGAAGAAGUAAUUCGUUACGUAAAGCUCUAUCAGCAGGGAAGAAAAUGACGGUGCCUGAGUAAGAAGCCGCGGCUAACUACGUGCCAGCAGCAGAGGUAAUACGUAGGGGGCAAGCGGUAUCCGGAUUUACUGGGUGGAAAGGGAGCGUAGACGGGUCGCCAAGUCUGAAGUGAAAUGCCGCAGCUGAACUGCGGAACUGCUUUGGAAACUGGCGAACGAGAUGGCGGGAGGGGUAAGCGGAAUUCCUAGUGUAGCGGUGAAAUGCGGAGAUAUUAGGAGGAACACCGGUGGCGAAGGCGGCUUACUGGACCGUAACUGACGUUGAGGCUCGAAAGCGUGGGGAGCAAACAGGAUUAGAUACCCCAGUAGUC
RNAcentral lists this ribosomal RNA (440 nucleotides) under uncultured bacterium. RNAcentral's name for it is "partial 16S ribosomal RNA". It matches the Rfam family "Bacterial small subunit ribosomal RNA", at positions 338 to 795 of the family's 1533-position model. The record is from RNAcentral.